CUGGCCAUCUCCAUGGUGACGCUGGGCAAAGAGGCCAAGCAGAGGCUGCAGUAGCUUUUCGAGGGCAGCCAAUUUUCCAUCUGCUGGGGCUUUAUUCGUCUCAUGACUUACCUGGAACUAAAGAAGGGUAUAGAGCCUGGGAUGUCUGAGCCAAUCGUUUUGAGCCUGCUUUGGAGAUAAAGGACUAUUUGAUCAUCUGGAUUUGGAAGCCAUCAGUGGGCAGGAACAACAUGGAGUUGGGUUCAGCCAAUGGGAGGCAUCAGCAACAGAAGACCAGAAGAAGGUACACUUACUUGACCAGAUACCUUCUUGUUAGCAGUAAAUGCACAGCAACAUUUCUCUACGAAAGAAACACUGUUGUGAGUCGAGUCCCCUCCCUGUGCUGGGCACUAUGCUGGACAAUGCAGGUACAAGGUGGUGAUCUUGCCACCCUUCCCUCCAGGUGAGAUAAUGACAGAUGAGGCAGCAAGUGUGAUUGGGUGAUCCAGACACCAAGAGAGCAGCAUGAACAGAUG
Molecule: long non-coding RNA, 515 nt
Filed under: Macaca mulatta (Rhesus monkey)
Lineage: Eukaryota; Metazoa; Chordata; Mammalia; Primates; Cercopithecidae
Description: lncRNA (ENSMMUG00000063972.1)
Source: RNAcentral